CAGGAUUAGAUACCCUGGUAGUCCACGCCGUAAACGAUGGGUACUAGGUGUCUGGGGGAGCGACCCCCUGGGUGCCGGCGCUAACGCAUGAAGUACCCCGCCUGGGGAGUACGGCCGCAAGGCUGAAACUCAAAGGAAUUGACGGGGGCCCGCACAAGCGGUGGAGCAUGUGGUUUAAUUCGACGCAACGCGAAGAACCUUACCUGGGCUUGACAUGCUGGAGAAAGCUUGCGGAAACGUGAGCCCCUCUUCGGAGUUCCAGCACAGAUGCUGCAUGGCUGUCGUCAGCUCGUGUCGUGAGAUGUUGGGUUAAGUCCCGCAACGAGCGCAACCCUCACUCUUAGUUACCAGCGGGUAAAGCCGGGGACUCUAGGGGGACUGCCGGUUGCCAAACCGGUAGGAAGGUGGGGAUGACGUCAAGUCAUCAUGGCUCUUACGUCCAGGGCUACACACGUGCUACAAUGGGUC
This 468-nucleotide ribosomal RNA is filed under the name uncultured bacterium. RNAcentral describes it as "bacterial SSU rRNA". It matches the Rfam family "Bacterial small subunit ribosomal RNA", at positions 773 to 1236 of the family's 1533-position model. The record is from RNAcentral.